ACUAAGCGUACACGGUGGAUGCCCUGGCAGUCAGAGGCGAUGAAGGACGUGCUAAUCUGCGAAAAGCGUCGGUAAGGUGAUAUGAACCGUUAUAACCGGCGAUGUCCGAAUGGGGAAACCCAGUGCAAUUCGUUGCACUAUCGUUAACUGAAUACAUAGGUUAACGAGGCGAACCGGGGGAACUGAAACAUCUAAGUACCCCGAGGAAAAGAAAUCAACCGAGAUUCCCCCAGUAGCGGCGAGCGAACGGGGAGCAGCCCAGAGUCUGAAUCAGCUUGUGUGUUAGUGGAACGGUCUGGAAAGUCCGACGGUACAGGGUGAUAGUCCCGUACACCAAAAUGCACAGGCUGUGAACUCGAAGAGUAGGGCGGGACACGUGGUAUCCUGUCUGAAUAUGGGGGGACCAUCCUCCAAGGCUAAAUACUCCUGACUGACCGAUAGUGAACCAGUACCGUGAGGGAAAGGCGAAAAGAACCCCGGCGAGGGGAGUGAAAAAGAACCUGAAACCGUGUACGUACAAGCAGUGGGAGCACCUUCGGGUGUGACUGCGUACCUUUUGUAUAAUGGGUCAGCGACUUAUAUUCUGUAGCAAGGUUAACCGUAUAGGGGAGCCGCAGGGAAACCGAGUCUUAACUGGGCGUUAAGUUGCAGGGUAUAGACCCGAAACCCGGUGAUCUAGCCAUGGGCAGGUUGAAGGUUGGGUAACACUAACUGGAGGACCGAACCGACUAAUGUUGAAAAAUUAGCGGAUGACUUGUGGCUGGGGGUGAAAGGCCAAUCAAACCGGGAGAUAGCUGGUUCUCCCCGAAAGCUAUUUAGGUAGCGCCUCGUGAACUCAUCUUCGGGGGUAGAGCACUGUUUCGGCUAGGGGGUCAUCCCGACUUACCAACCCGAUGCAAACUACGAAUACCGAAGAAUGUUAUCACGGGAGACACACGGCGGGUGCUAACGUCCGUCGUGAAGAGGGAAACAACCCAGACCGCCAGCUAAGGUCCCAAAGUCAUGGUUAAGUGGGAAACGAUGUGGGAAGGCACAGACAGCCAGGAUGUUGGCUUAGAAGCAGCCAUCAUUUAAAGAAAGCGUAAUAGCUCACUGGUCGAGUCGGCCUGCGCGGAAGAUGUAACGGGGCUAAACCAUGCACCGAAGCUGCGGCAGCGACACUAUGUGUUGUUGGGUAGGGGAGCGUUCUGUAAGCCUGCGAAGGUGUGCUGUGAGGCAUGCUGGAGGUAUCAGAAGUGCGAAUGCUGACAUAAGUAACGAUAAAGCGGGUGAAAAGCCCGCUCGCCGGAAGACCAAGGGUUCCUGUCCAACGUUAAUCGGGGCAGGGUGAGUCGACCCCUAAGGCGAGGCCGAAAGGCGUAGUCGAUGGGAAACAGGUUAAUAUUCCUGUACUUGGUGUUACUGCGAAGGGGGGACGGAGAAGGCUAUGUUAGCCGGGCGACGGUUGUCCCGGUUUAAGCAUGUAGGCUGAUUAUCCAGGCAAAUCCGGAUAAUCAAGGCUGAGGUGUGAUGACGAGGCACUACGGUGCUGAAGUAACAAAUGCCCUGCUUCCAGGAAAAGCCUCUAAGCAUCAGGUAACAUCAAAUCGUACCCCAAACCGACACAGGUGGUCAGGUAGAGAAUACCAAGGCGCUUGAGAGAACUCGGGUGAAGGAACUAGGCAAAAUGGUGCCGUAACUUCGGGAGAAGGCACGCUGGUGUGUAGGUGAAGCCCCUGCGGGUGGAGCUGAGACCAGUCGAAGAUACCAGCUGGCUGCAACUGUUUAUUAAAAACACAGCACUGUGCAAACACGAAAGUGGACGUAUACGGUGUGACGCCUGCCCGGUGCCGGAAGGUUAAUUGAUGGGGUUAUCCGUAAGGAGAAGCUCUUGAUCGAAGCCCCGGUAAACGGCGGCCGUAACUAUAACGGUCCUAAGGUAGCGAAAUUCCUUGUCGGGUAAGUUCCGACCUGCACGAAUGGCGUAAUGAUGGCCAGGCUGUCUCCACCCGAGACUCAGUGAAAUUGAACUCGCUGUGAAGAUGCAGUGUACCCGCGGCAAGACGGAAAGACCCCGUGAACCUUUACUAUAGCUUGACACUGAACAUUGAGCCUUGAUGUGUAGGAUAGGUGGGAGGCUUUGAAGCGUGGACGCCAGUCUGCGUGGAGCCAACCUUGAAAUACCACCCUUUAAUGUUUGAUGUUCUAACGUUGGCCCCUUACCGGGGUUGCGGACAGUGUCUGGUGGGUAGUUUGACUGGGGCGGUCUCCUCCCAAAGCGUAACGGAGGAGCACGAAGGUUAGCUAAUCCUGGUCGGACAUCAGGAGGUUAGUGCAAUGGCAUAAGCUAGCUUGACUGCGAGCGUGACGGCGCGAGCAGGUGCGAAAGCAGGUCAUAGUGAUCCGGUGGUUCUGAAUGGAAGGGCCAUCGCUCAACGGAUAAAAGGUACUCCGGGGAUAACAGGCUGAUACCGCCCAAGAGUUCAUAUCGACGGCGGUGUUUGGCACCUCGAUGUCGGCUCAUCACAUCCUGGGGCUGAAGUAGGUCCCAAGGGUAUGGCUGUUCGCCAUUUAAAGUGGUACGCGAGCUGGGUUUAGAACGUCGUGAGACAGUUCGGUCCCUAUCUGCCGUGGGCGCUGGAGAAUUGAGGGGGGCUGCUCCUAGUACGAGAGGACCGGAGUGGACGCAUCACUGGUGUUCGGGUUGUCAUGCCAAUGGCACUGCCCGGUAGCUAAAUGCGGAAGAGAUAAGUGCUGAAAGCAUCUAAGCACGAAACUUGCCCCGAGAUGAGUUCUCCCUGAGACUUUAAGUCUCCUGAAGGAACGUUAAAGACGAUGACGUUGAUAGGCCGGGUGUGUAAGCGCAGCGAUGCGUUGAGCUAACCGGUACUAAUGAACCGUGAGGCUUAACC
This 2891-nucleotide ribosomal RNA is filed under the name Klebsiella pneumoniae. RNAcentral describes it as "bacterial LSU rRNA". It matches the Rfam family "Bacterial large subunit ribosomal RNA". Lineage: Bacteria; Pseudomonadati; Pseudomonadota; Gammaproteobacteria; Enterobacterales; Enterobacteriaceae. The record is from RNAcentral.